UGUACAUGACGUCGGCCAGCACGCGACAGCCGAGCCGACUCAAUCAUUUGAAGUUGAACCUUGUUGUGUUGUGGCCAGUGAACACGGCUGACUGGUCUGAGGGUGACGGAUAUACGAAGACUGGCAAAUAAAUACUCAAGAUGUCAGAUUUGGCGUCCCCAAGGUCGCCUGGAUCUGGCGACUUUCCCCAUGACGAAUUUGACUACGAUGACGACAACGAUGCAGAUUUUGAAGACUCCCGAGAUUAUGACGACAGAGAGAGUGACGACGGUAUGGGACCGUUUAUCCGGCAUCUCGGUAUCCGGAACGGUCCAAAAACCAGCUAUAUUCUGGAACAUAUUCCCGGGCCAAGCAGGGAUAUUUCCAACCGUUCCCCACCUGCGAGCUAUACUGACUUGGGAAGUGAAGGAGAAACAAGAGGGAAAGAAGAAUAUGCUGGUAUUAAGGAACAGAUGUACCAGGACAAGCUCGCUCAACUAAAAAAACAACUGCAGCAGUUGCGUGACAGCAGUCAUCCAGAAUACAACAAGAAACUAAAGAAGAUUGAUGCAGCUUACAAAGAAAGACUAAGACUCAAUGAUUUAUGGCGUGAAAUCGAGACGGAAUGGGUGGAACGUGACUAUUUGGCUGAGAAGAGAUUGGCCGCUCGAGAAUUCGAAGAAAAGAAGAGAGAACUUAAAGAAAAUUUGUUGAUAGAACUUGAAGAGAAAAAGAAGAUCAUAGAGCAGGAAAGAUACACACUUGAGCUUACCGGGGAUUCAAUGGAGUAUAAACCAGUCUCAACUCGAAAGUUACGUCGACGAGGAAAUGAACCUGCACCAAUUAUAGAGAAACGCCGCAAGCCAGUGUCAACAACUCUGCAGCUCUUGCUUGAUGAAAGGGAGAUGGAUGAUGAUUUAAAACUCAUCAACAAGAGCAAGCUGAUGAAUAUGAAAAAAAGUUUCAUAAAGGGCAGGCAGUAAUGAUUGAAUGUAAGGAUGGUACACGGUUUAAUGCUGUCCUCACUGUCGCAGGAGCUGACGUGAUUAUGGUAAGAAAAGUACCUGAUAACAUACGUCUAAAGAUCACCCUUGCUCAACUGGCUCAUGGUAAAUAUCUCGUCCGACGCCGCAGUUCAGCGUGACCAAGGGACAAGAAACUCUUUUAUGCUCUUGAAAACCAAAUUAAUGUCAGUCCCCACCAUAUUAAGAAAAUGCUUUUUUGUAAUUUGCCAUAAAGUGAUUGUGUUGCUCACAGACACUUUCUCCAGGUGUUCUACUAACAAUUGUACUAUACAAUAAAAUUUUGAUGUUAAAAAAUA
Molecule: unclassified non-coding RNA, 1300 nt
Filed under: Homarus americanus (American lobster)
Lineage: Eukaryota; Metazoa; Arthropoda; Malacostraca; Decapoda; Nephropidae
Description: sin3 histone deacetylase corepressor complex component SDS3-like, transcript variant X3
Source: RNAcentral